Molecule: transfer RNA, 70 nt
Filed under: Sphaerodactylus macrolepis
Lineage: Eukaryota; Metazoa; Chordata; Lepidosauria; Squamata; Sphaerodactylidae
Description: tRNA-Trp
Source: RNAcentral
AGGGACUUAGGCUAAACUAAUACACCACCCGCCUUCAAAGCGUGAAAUAUGUAAUACACAUAGUCCCUGC